This 492-nucleotide ribosomal RNA is filed under the name uncultured bacterium. RNAcentral's name for it is "partial 16S ribosomal RNA". It matches the Rfam family "Bacterial small subunit ribosomal RNA", at positions 29 to 507 of the family's 1533-position model. The record is from RNAcentral.
AGUGAACGCUGGCGGUAGGCCUAACACAUGCAAGUCGAACGGCAGCACAGUAAGAGCUUGCUCUUACGGGUGGCGAGUGGCGGACGGGUGAGGAAUACAUCGGAAUCUACUUUUUCGUGGGGGAUAACGUAGGGAAACUUACGCCAAUACCGCAUACGACCUACGGGUGAAAGCAGGGGAUCUUCGGACCUUGCGCGAUUGAAUGAGCCGAUGUCGGAUUAGCUAGUUGGCGGGGUAAAGGCCCACCAAGGCGACGAUCCGUAGCUGGUCUGAGAGGAGGAUCAGCCACACUGGAACUGAGACACGGUCCAGACUCCUACGGGAGGCAGCAGUGGGGAAUAUUGGACAAUGGGCGCAAGCCUGAUCCAGCCAUACCGCGUGGGUGAAGAAGGCCUUCGGGUUGUAAAGCCCUUUUGUUGGGAAAGAAAAGCAGCAGGUUAAUACCCCGCUGUUCUGACGGUACCCAAAGAAUAAGCACCGGCUAACUUCGUG